RNAcentral lists this ribosomal RNA (425 nucleotides) under uncultured bacterium. RNAcentral describes it as "bacterial SSU rRNA". It matches the Rfam family "Bacterial small subunit ribosomal RNA", at positions 356 to 773 of the family's 1533-position model. The record is from RNAcentral.
GAGGAAUUUUGCGCAAUGGGGGAAACCCUGACGCAGCAACGCCGCGUGAGUGAUGAAGGCUUUCGGGUCGUAAAGCUCUGUCAGAUGGGAAAAAAGUUCAUUUAUUAAUAGUAAGUGAAUCUGAUGGUACCAUCAGAGGAAGCACCGGCUAACUCCGUGCCAGCAGCCGCGGUAAUACGGAGGGUGCAAGCGUUGUUCGGAAUUAUUGGGCGUAAAGAGCGUGUAGGCGGUAUGAUAAGUCAGAUGUGAAAGCCCUGGGCUUAACCUAGGAAGUGCAUUUGAUACUGUCAUUCUUGAGUAUGGGAGAGGAGAGUGGAAUUCCCAGUGUAGAAGUGAAAUUCGUAGAUAUUGGGAGGAACACCCGUGGCGAAGGCGACUCUCUGGACCAAUACUGACGCUGAGACGCGAAAGCGUGGGGAGCAAAC